GCUACCAACAGCAACUUGUCCCUGGAAUGAGGCCUGGUGGUGCCCCAAUGCCAAAUUUCUUUGUUCCUCUUGUUCAGCAGGGUCAGCAAGGCCAGCGACCUGGAGGGCGACGUGGGGGUGGGCCUGUUCAACAGACCCAGCAGCCAGUCCCUCUCAUGCAGCAACAGGUCAGUAGAAGAUAUUUUGAAUUUAUCAUGUUCAUAUAUUCCAUGUUCUUUAUAUUAAGAGUACUAUUGUUUUGGUUUGUCCCAGAUGCUUCCGAGGGGACGAGUGUAUCGUUACCCACCAGGUCGCAACAUGCCAGAUGUACCAAUGCCAGGUGUUGCUGGAGGCAUGCUUUCUGUUCCUUAUGACAUGGGCGGCAUGCCAAUACGUGAUGCCA
This 382-nucleotide long non-coding RNA is filed under the name Populus tremula. RNAcentral describes it as "long non-coding RNA (PTRE_LNC000896)". The record is from RNAcentral. Lineage: Eukaryota; Viridiplantae; Streptophyta; Magnoliopsida; Malpighiales; Salicaceae.